AUUGAACGCUGGCGGCAGGCCUAACACAUGCAAGUCGAACGAGUGGCGGACGUGUGAGUAAUGUCUGGGAAACUGCCCGUUGGCGGGGGAUAACUUCUGGAAACGGUCGCUAAUACCGAAUACCAUCGGGUGGGCCCAGAUGGGAUUAGCUUGGAGGUGAGGUAACGGCUCACCUAGGCGACGAUCCCUAGCUGGUCUGAUAGGAUGACCAGCCAAAUUGGAACUGAGACACGGUCCAGACGCCUACGGGAGGCAGCAAUGGGGAAUAUUGAACAAUUGGCUCAAGCUGGAUGCAGCCAUGCAGCGUGUAUGAAGAAGGCCUUCGGGUUGUAAAGUACUUUCAGCGGGGAGGCGUUACUCGCAGAAGAAGCACAGGCUAACUCCGUGCCAGCAGCCGCGGUAAUAC
RNAcentral lists this ribosomal RNA (406 nucleotides) under uncultured bacterium. RNAcentral's name for it is "partial 16S ribosomal RNA". It matches the Rfam family "Bacterial small subunit ribosomal RNA", at positions 30 to 526 of the family's 1533-position model. The record is from RNAcentral.